Molecule: ribosomal RNA, 440 nt
Filed under: uncultured bacterium
Lineage: Bacteria
Description: partial 16S ribosomal RNA
Rfam family: Bacterial small subunit ribosomal RNA
Source: RNAcentral
CCUACGGGUGGCAGCAGUGGGGAAUAUUGCACAAUGGGGGAAACCCUGAUGCAGCGACGCCGCGUGAGUGAAGAAGUAUUUCGGUACGUAAAGCUCUAUCAGCAGGGACGAAAAUGACGGUACCUGACUAAGAAGCCCCGUCUAACUACGUGCCAGCAGCCGUGGUACUACGUAGGGGGCAAGCGUUAUCCGGAUUUACUGGGUGUAAAGGGAGCGUAGACGGCAGCGCAAGUCUGGAGUGAAAUGCCAUGGCUUAACCAUGGAACUUCUUUGGAAACUGUGCAGCUAGAGUGCAGGAGAGUUAAGCGGAAUGCCUAGUGUAGCGGUGAAAUGCGUAGAUAUUAGGAGGAACACCAGUGGCGAAGGCGGCUUACUGGACUGUAACUGACGUUGAGGCUCGAAAGCGUGGGGAGCAAACAGGAUUAGAUACCCUGGUAGUC